Aegilops tauschii subsp. strangulata is the source of this 2220-nucleotide non-coding RNA. The record is from RefSeq and is a predicted model, not a curated record. Lineage: Eukaryota; Viridiplantae; Streptophyta; Magnoliopsida; Poales; Poaceae.
AAACAAAACUAAGGAUCGCCUUAAACUAAAAGAAAAAAAGAUCAACGGAACGGGUGAGAUCUCCUCUCUGGCUGCAUUCCUGAAUGUCCCUCGUCCGCCGCCGCCUCCUCUCCACCGCGGCGGCAGUCGCCGCUGCCCGCGGCCCACCGCCGGUCCGCGUAGCCUUGACGGACUCCGCCGGCCGCGGAGUCUUCGCUACUCGCCCCAUCGCCACUGGCGAGGUCCUCCACUCGGCGCAGCCUCUCGUCACCCACCCUUCCCGCUCUCUCUUCCACGAGGUGUGCUACCGCUGCCUCAAGAGGAAAGCGGGGAAGGGCGACGACUCCAGAGGGGACUGCUACUUCUGCAGCGACGCGUGCCGGGAGCAUGCCGAGGGAUUCCAUGGCAUUCAGAAGAAGGUGGAUUGGUCUUUGUUAGAUGACCACUGUAGUUCACGUGGUCUGAAGUACCCAUACAUGGUCAGGCGGCUAGCUUGCAUGGUUAUAUCAGGAGAUGUUGGUGCAGAUUGUCUUGACAUUCUUCAGCCAGCCCAAUUGCACCAGGGUACACUUAUUGAGAUGGAAGAGGAGUUCGAAUUGUUGAAGUCCACUUUUAGGAAGGCAGGCUUUCAGGAAGAACUCACAACUUUAUUAGUUUUGACCAAACAAUGGUACAUCAAUAUACUUGCAAGAAUACGUGUAAAUGCAUUCCGUAUUGAAUUGGUUGCAAGUUCAUAUGAGGAUCUUCUAUCCUCAGCAGUAGCCUCGGUAACAUGCGAUGCAUCAGUUGGCAAUGCUGUAUAUAUGCUCCCCUCGUUCUACAACCAUGACUGUGAUCCGAAUACUCACAUAGUUUGGCUGGAAAACGCAGACGCUAAAUUGAAGACCCUUCGUGAUAUUGACGAAGGUGAAGAGCUGCGCAUCUGCUACAUUGAUACAAGCAUGGAUGUGAACGCCAGGCAGAAGAUUCUCACUGAAGGAUUUGGUUUCCAGUGCCGUUGCCAACGGUGCUUAUCUGGGGAUUAAAAUUCAUCGUUUGCCUUAAUGGCCGCUUCCCUCGACGUUAGACGCGAACAGUGAACACAGGAUAACUAAUGACAGGGGCGUAUCUAGGGCACAUUUUUAACUUUGUAGGGCAUCCUCCGCCCAAACAACACACAAUCACUUGGUGCUCUUGGAGCGUGCCGAGAUGUCUGAAUAAUAAAAAUGUAGCAAGUUCCAAAAAGCUCAGGAUGUCUGAUACUUACCAGCAGUUGAUCAACUGAGCAUAAUGUGCAACAAGGCACUCAUAGAAACAUCAGGACAGUGCAGCAAUCUACUACUUUGCUUGAAGGAUUUCCAAACUCCCAAAAGAAAUUCUCAAGUACUUAUUAUUUGUUUUUGGUGCUAACAUGAUUCUCUUCAUGACUGCGUCACCACUCACCAACUUAUUUUGUUUCACUGCUUACAUGAAUCAGAAAUAAUUUGCGAGGAUCAACAGCCAGGCUUGUCCCAAUUGGAUGCUCAGUUCAGGAUGCCAGAAGCUUUGUAGGAUUCGACACUGUCUCCGAGGGUCUUCUCUACAGGCCUGAAGGUCCACCCUAGCUUCUGAAGUUUCUCUGAACUAUAAAUAAGAUUGUCUUCCACUUCCGUAAUGCUACAUAGAAAUUUGGAGAGAAAAAUAAGUUUCAUCCGAGUUAAGCAUGGAAAAGCAGGGGUGAAGGACACACAUUGAGCAGCAUUUGGUGAUAUGGUGAAGCAACCUUGGUUCAUUAAAUUUUACAGUCCAUGUCACAAACUACAUGCUCACUGGUAUGGAAUUCUAGGAAUGUGAAUAUCUACUAGGAUUUAUUCAAUUUGUCAGUCCCCAUUCAAGUACUUCCAAGCGAUGUAGGAACAUGCUUAUCCCAGGAAAGACAAAUGUGCGCUCAAUUCUAGUAUAUUUUCAAAGUGAAAUGAAGGUUAUUCAUCCUUGCAUUUUAGGCAAUGGUAACUUGCUCAUGAUAUGCAGAACUAAAAUAGCUAUAACACAGGUGAAUUACAUAUGUACCGUCCGGACAUCUCUGGAUUCUCAUAUGCCAGAAGAAUAGCAUCGGCAACAUCACGAACAUCCACUAUAUCCCUGCUUUUAUUUUCUACAGUAUCAUGUUCUCCUGCAAAAUGAUAAGUAUUUUAGUGUUACAGAAACAGAACUAUAACCCUAAACUAGUUUGGUGAACAGCCUUCGUUUCAAUGAUAUGCAGGUUUUUUUUUUGCGAUUAAA